GUAUGUAGGUGGGACUGGGUGUGAUUCAGAUUCUGAGAGUGACUACGUUGAUGGGUCGAAGAGUUCUUUAUCACCUGAGAAGCUCUUGUACUCGUUGGAAUAUGCUGGAAAGGAUUUGAAGGUGGUGAGGAUGGCAGUGCCCCUGAGAGAUAUGGAAAAUGAGGAUCUGUUGGAUUAUUUGAAUGUGUGUUACGAUUUCAUUGAGCGGGGUAGAAAAGAGGGAUCUGUUCUGGUGCAUUGCUUUGCUGGAGUAUCUAGAAGUGCUGCCAUCAUCACAGCAUAUCUUAUGAGAAGGGAACAGCUAUCUCUAGAAGAUGCACUUGGUUCCUUACGACAAAGCAACGAAUUUGUCAG
Molecule: unclassified non-coding RNA, 354 nt
Filed under: Hevea brasiliensis (rubber tree)
Lineage: Eukaryota; Viridiplantae; Streptophyta; Magnoliopsida; Malpighiales; Euphorbiaceae
Source: RNAcentral